Molecule: long non-coding RNA, 2588 nt
Filed under: Homo sapiens (human)
Lineage: Eukaryota; Metazoa; Chordata; Mammalia; Primates; Hominidae
Description: HSALNT0013747
Source: RNAcentral
UAGUCAUCUCAAAACAGCUGGAGAAUCAAGAGGCCUUCCGUGUGAAUACUUGCAAUUCAGUGUAUUGUUUAAUUCACUGAGCCUGAAAUUGCCGAGAAUUAUAGAGAAAAGGUUCCUCCCUGACAGUUUGGCAAGGAAUAUGGAAUGGUUAAGGACUCCCCACCCUUCCACUCCAACCCCACUUCCAAAGCCUGAGAUUUCAGGACCUCUGACCCAGCAGCUCCAGGUGUCUACGGAGCAUCUAAAUCUGGAUAUCCCAUGGGAACUUCAAACUCAAAAUAUCCAAGAGAGAUCCAUUAAUAUUCCCUUGCGCUGACCUGUAACACCGAAUCACAUGCAGUAGUAUUUAGUUGAUUCUACUGCUAAAAUGUCAAAAAAAUUUGCCCAGUUUUAUCCAACCCUCCUAUUAUUGGCCUUCAUUAUCUUUCACCAAGACCAGGCAAAUUACCUAAUUUCUCUUGGCCAGCCUUUCUUGCUCCAACCAAAGCAAAACUCAAAUUGUUUAACUGCCUUGAUUCUAUACCUUGCAUUUCCAAAUCAAAGUAUCUUUGUAUUAGACAUCAGUUUCCUUAUUUGUAAGGUGGGACAAUAAUAUUUCAUGAGAUUGUAAAAAGUUCUUAUCAUAAGAAACGCCAACAGUAAUAUAAUAUAGCAAUUAAUAAAAGCCCGCUUACUUCUUCUCACCAUUAUCUCACUGGGGAAUAUUAUAAAAACUAUCAUAUAUGGUGCUAAGGGUUAUAUGUUGAUUAAAUCAUUUAAUCUUCACAACAGCUUUAUGAAGUAAGUAUCAAUGUUACAAUUCCAACUUUAGAGAUGGGGCAAAGAGAAGCUGACUAUCUUGUCUAAGAUCACACAUCAAGACAAAGGCAACACUGAAUCUCAGAUUAGGUAUGCCUGAGUCCAGAUGGUGAUAACCAACAGAAUAUACCAACUCUGAAACAUAUUAAAUUCUCAUUACAAUGGAAUUAACUUCAUUACCUUCAAACUGUUGAACCAAGAUUUUAAAUAAAAGAAACUAUUAAUAGAAGAUUAAAGAAAUGUACAGUGUAGCUAUAUACCAAUGUGAAUGUAAUGAUAAAUGAACAGUGCAAUCAAAAUAUUUUAAAAAUACACAUUUUCAACUAAACAUAGUUUUACAUAACUUAAAAUGCAACACAGUUUUUCUUAAUGGUGCCAUCCUCCAAGCCCUAAUCGUUGUCUCACUGUUUCCUAUAACACUUUGCAGGUGCUUCUGCAGUUUGCUUUCCUUCCUGUCUAGAAAUCACAGCAUCAAAAACAUGCAAAAAGCUCUAUCUUUUUACAUAUUUUGUGGUUAGCCAACAAACUAAUGUGAGCUCAGUCAACAAUGUUUCAACUUCCUUAAUACUGCACAACUGCAAUGCAUUUUUGCUGCUUUAGAGUGCUGCAAAAACAUAUAUGACAUCUGCAUUUCUAAAACGAUAACAAUUUGUUGUUUCUGCAACAUAUAUUUAAGACUGUUCUUAAAACCAUGUAGUAAUUUAUACCUGUCUAAAUAAUUUCUUAUUUUCAUAGAUAACAUUUUUAAAGUAUAUGGGCCUUUCAGCAAUUUGCAGUCUUCAGAGAAAUGACAUUUAGAUUUUCUUGGGUCUAUUCAGGACCCAAUCUUGUAAACCAUUUCACUAGAAAUAAAAAUCUGUUUUGUUCUUUAUUAAGAAAAAGAAAAUAUGGAAGAAGCCAAUUAAAAUUUAUUGCAUAGGACAGUGUUUCCAAACAUGCUUUAAAGACAGAAAGUCUUACUAAAAACAGUUAAGUGAACUGUGACAUACAGGACGGAUCAGGUGGGACAACUCUGAUAGAAGCCAAGAUAGAAAAUACAGAGCCCUAUCAGCCUGACUUUUCAUUAUUCAUAAUGAGGUAGGAGGUGGAAUGUGACUCUGGACCAGAUUGAAGACUGACAGAAACAAGGAAGAGGAAACGAAAGCUCCUCCCCAUAAGACACGCCCACCAGCACCAUGACAUUUUACCAUUGCCAUGGCUAUACCCAGAAGUUACCAUCCCUUUCCAUGGCAAUGAUCCAGAAGUUACCUUCUGUUUUCUAGAAAUUUCUGAAUAGCCUGCCCCUUAAUUUGCACAUAAUUAAAAGUAGUAUAAACAUGGCUGCAGAACUGCCCCUGAGCUGCUACUCUUGACACACUGCCCAGGGGGUACCCCUGCUCUGAAGGAGAAGUCACAGAGCUGUAACACCCCUGCCUCAAUAAAGCUGAUUUUUCUACCACCAGCUCGCUCUUGAAUUCUUUCCUGAGCCAACCUUCUCAGGCUAAACCCCACUGUUGGGAUUCACCUGCCCUGUAACAAUUUCACCAUAAAAGUCAAUAAAGCUUCAUGAUGCAACCCAAAAUGUCUAUUAAACAUCCAGAAUCCUUACAGAAACAGAAGGCCACACUAACAUGAGGCCAACACCCCUAUAUAAAAAGGAUACAAUGGAUCUUAUUUUUAUCAUUAAUGUUGUGCGUCUUAAACAUAUGGGGUUAACUUAUGAAUAAGAAUUAUCAAAGUUUAUAUCCAAAAUUUAUAAAACAUAAUACUAUUCCCUUGAUUCUUGUAAUUUCACUUCUCUCCCAAAUAAG